Molecule: ribosomal RNA, 460 nt
Filed under: uncultured bacterium
Lineage: Bacteria
Description: partial 16S ribosomal RNA
Rfam family: Bacterial small subunit ribosomal RNA
Source: RNAcentral
CCUACGGGAGGCAGCAGUGAGGAAUAUUGGUCAAUGGACGAGAGUCUGAACCAGCCAAGUAGCGUGAAGGAUGACUGCCCUAUGGGUUGUAAACUUCUUUUAUAUGGGAAUAAAAUGUUCCACGUGUGGGAUUUUGUAUGUACCAUAUGAAUAAGGAUAGGCUAACUCCGUGCCAGCAGCCGCGGUAAUACGGAGGAUCCGAGCGUUAUCCGGAUUUAUUGGGUUUAAAGGGAGCGUAGGUGGAUUGUUAAGUCAGUUGUGAAAGUUUGCGGCUCAACCGUAAAAUUGCAGUUGAAACUGGCAGUCUGGAGUACAGUAGAGGUGGGCGGAAUUCGUGGUGUAGCGGUGAAAUGCUUAGAUAUCACGAAGAACUCCGAUUGCGAAGGCAGCUCACUGGACUGCAACUGACACUGAGGCUCGAAAGUGUGGGUAUCAAACAGGAUUAGAUACCCCAGUAGUC